This 322-nucleotide unclassified non-coding RNA is filed under the name uncultured Rasamsonia. Its description in RNAcentral is "sequence contains ITS1". The stretch from base 1 to 105 matches the Rfam family "5.8S ribosomal RNA", at positions 50 to 154 of the family's 154-position model. Lineage: Eukaryota; Fungi; Ascomycota; Eurotiomycetes; Eurotiales; Trichocomaceae. The record is from RNAcentral.
GAAAUGCGAUAAGUAAUGUGAAUUGCAGAAUUCCGUGAAUCAUCGAAUCUUUGAACGCACAUUGCGCCCUCUGGCAUUCCGGGGGGCAUGCCUGUCCGAGCGUCAUUUCUGUCCCUCAAGCACGGCUUGUGUGUUGGGCCGCCGUCCCGCCCGCGAAGGGGGGAGGGACGGGCCUGAAAGGCAGCGGCGGCGCCGCGUGUCCGGUCCUCGAGCGUAUGGGGCUCAGUCACCCGCUCUGGAGGGGCCGGCCGGUGCCCGCCUGACCCGGUUCCUUGUCUCCACGGUUGACCUCGGAUCAGGUAGGAGUACCCGCUGAACUUAA